GAAUUUCUGCUGCAUCAUUUAUAUUCCUUAAUCGGUUUAUUUAUGUUGUGGCUUUUUCUGGUGAUUAUAUUUCGGUAUGAUUAUCCAGAUUGUUACUUUGAGAAAAUUAGAGUGCUUAAAGCAGGCUUUUGCCUUGAAUACUUUAGCAUGGAAUAACUAAGUAGGACUUUGGUUCUAUUUUGUUGGUUUAAGAGCCAAAGUAAUGAUUAAUAGGAACAGUUGGGGGCAUUCGUAUUUAACUGUCAGAGGUGAAAUUCUUAGAUUUGUUAAAGACGAACUACUGCGAAAGCAUUUGCCAAGGAUGUUUUCAUUAAUCAAGAACGAAAGUUAGGGGAUCGAAGACGAUCAGAUACCGUCGUAGUCCUAACCAUAAACUAUGCCGACUAGAGAUUGGA
RNAcentral lists this ribosomal RNA (395 nucleotides) under Cytauxzoon felis. RNAcentral describes it as "SSU rRNA". It matches the Rfam family "Eukaryotic small subunit ribosomal RNA", at positions 636 to 1057 of the family's 1831-position model. Lineage: Eukaryota; Apicomplexa; Aconoidasida; Piroplasmida; Theileriidae. The record is from RNAcentral.